GACGAACGCUGGCGGCGUGCUUAACACAUGCAAGUCGAACGGAAAGGCCCUGCUUUUGUGGGGUGCUCGAGUGGCGAACGGGUGAGUAACACGUGAGUAACCUGCCCUUGACUUUGGGAUAACUUCAGGAAACUGGGGCUAAUACCGGAUAGGAGCUCCUGCUGCAUGGUGGGGGUUGGAAAGUUUCGGCGGUUGGGGAUGGACUCGCGGCUUAUCAGCUUGUUGGUUGGGUAGUGGCUUACCAAGGCUUUGACGGGUAGCCGGCCUGGGAGGGUGACCGGCCAAAUUGGGACUGGAGAACGGGCCAGGCUCCUACGGGGGGGAAGAGGGGGGAAUAGUGGACAAUGGGGGGGAGCCUGAAGCAGGAACGCCGGGUGGCGGGAGACGGGCUUCGGGGUGGAAACCGCAUUUCCCUGGGAAGGAGGGUUAAUGGCGGUAAAGGGUAAAAAAGGCCCGGCUAACUACGUG
Molecule: ribosomal RNA, 468 nt
Filed under: uncultured bacterium
Lineage: Bacteria
Description: partial 16S ribosomal RNA
Rfam family: Bacterial small subunit ribosomal RNA
Source: RNAcentral